This 267-nucleotide ribosomal RNA is filed under the name Triticum aestivum (bread wheat). RNAcentral's name for it is "partial small subunit ribosomal RNA". Lineage: Eukaryota; Viridiplantae; Streptophyta; Magnoliopsida; Poales; Poaceae. The record is from RNAcentral.
AUGUUGCAUAGCUUUCAGAGAACUAGGAAAGUAAUGGUGGACUCUCAUGAAGCACAAAGACAGAUAAUGUUUGAGGCAAAUUCCUUCACCGGCCCUGCGUAUGAGAAAUUCUGCAAUGAUGCCCAGCGGCAUGCUACUCUCAAGCUGGAGGUCGAGCUUAGGAACUGGAGGUCCUGCUUCAUGAGCUACGUCAGUGCUCAGAAGGCGUACAUCGAAUCCCUUGAUGGUUGGUUGUCCAAGUUCAUGCUCACAGACACCAUCCGUUAA